GGGGAUUUAGCUCAGUGGUAGAGUGCUUGCCUAGGAAGCGCAAGGCCCUGGGUUCGGUUCCCAGCUCCG
Non-coding RNA from Rattus norvegicus (Norway rat), 69 nucleotides. Lineage: Eukaryota; Metazoa; Chordata; Mammalia; Rodentia; Muridae. The record is from Rfam.